This 940-nucleotide ribosomal RNA is filed under the name uncultured Flavobacteriaceae bacterium. RNAcentral describes it as "bacterial SSU rRNA". It matches the Rfam family "Bacterial small subunit ribosomal RNA", at positions 55 to 1001 of the family's 1533-position model. The record is from RNAcentral. Lineage: Bacteria; Pseudomonadati; Bacteroidota; Flavobacteriia; Flavobacteriales; Flavobacteriaceae.
AUGCAAGUCGAGGGGUAUUGGUUUUCGGACCAAGAGACCGGCGCACGGGUGCGUAACGCGUAUGCAAUCUACCUUUUGCAGAGGGAUAGCCCAGAGAAAUUUGGAUUAAUACCUCAUAGUAUAGCAGUUUCGCAUGAAACCACUAUUAAAGUCACAACGGCAAAAGAUGAGCAUGCGUCCCAUUAGCUAGUUGGUAAGGUAACGGCUUACCAAGGCUACGAUGGGUAGGGGUCCUGAGAGGGAGAUCCCCCACACUGGUACUGAGACACGGACCAGACUCCUACGGGAGGCAGCAGUGAGGAAUAUUGGACAAUGGGCGCAAGCCUGAUCCAGCCAUGCCGCGUGCAGGAUGACGGUCCUAUGGAUUGUAAACUGCUUUUGUACAGGAAGAAACACUCCCUCGUGAGGGAGCUUGACGGUACUGUAAGAAUAAGGAUCGGCUAACUCCGUGCCAGCAGCCGCGGUAAUACGGAGGAUCCAAGCGUUAUCCGGAAUCAUUGGGUUUAGAGGGUCCGUAGGCGGUUUAGUAAGUCAGUGGUGAAAGCCCAUCGCUCAACGGUGGAACGGCCAUUGAUACUGCUAGACUUGAAUUAUUAGGAAGUAACUAGAAUAUGUAGUGUAGCGGUGAAAUGCUUAGAGAUUACAUGGAAUACCAAUUGCGAAGGCAGGUUACUACUAAUGGAUUGACGCUGAUGGACGAAAGCGUGGGUAGCGAACAGGAUUAGAUACCCUGGUAGUCCACGCCGUAAACGAUGGAUACUAGCUGUUGGGAGCAAUCUCAGUGGCUAAGCGAAAGUGAUAAGUAUCCCACCUGGGGAGUACGUUCGCAAGAAUGAAACUCAAAGGAAUUGACGGGGGCCCGCACAAGCGGUGGAGCAUGUGGUUUAAUUCGAUGAUACGCGAGGAACCUUACCAGGCUUAAAUGUAGAUUGACCGGUUU